UACGAGGGGGGCAAGCGUUGUUCGGAAUUAUUGGGCGUAAAGGGUGCGUAGGUGGUUCGGCAAGUCUUGUGUGAAAUCUUCAGGCUCAACUUGAAGUCUGCACAAGAAACUGCCGGGCUUUGAGUAUGGGAGAGGUGAGUGGAAUUUCCGGUGUAGCGGUGAAAUGCGUAGAUAUCGGAAGGAACACCUGUGGCGAAAGCGGCUCACUGGACCAUUACUGACACUGAGGCACGAAAGCUAGGGGAGCAAACAGG
This 254-nucleotide ribosomal RNA is filed under the name uncultured bacterium. Its description in RNAcentral is "partial 16S ribosomal RNA". It matches the Rfam family "Bacterial small subunit ribosomal RNA", at positions 524 to 776 of the family's 1533-position model. The record is from RNAcentral.